This 299-nucleotide ribosomal RNA is filed under the name uncultured bacterium. RNAcentral describes it as "partial 16S ribosomal RNA". It matches the Rfam family "Bacterial small subunit ribosomal RNA", at positions 8 to 290 of the family's 1533-position model. The record is from RNAcentral.
AGAGUUUGAUCAUGGCUCAGGACGAACGCUGGCGGCGUGCCUAACACAUGCAAGUCGAACGGGGCUCUUUGGAUCGAGACUUCGGUCAAGUGAAUCUGAGCUUAGUGGCGGACGGGUGAGUAACGCGUGAGCAACCUGCCUUUCAGAGGGGGACAACAGUUGGAAACGACUGCUAAUACCGCAUAACGUGUCGAGGAGGCAUCUCCUUGACACCAAAGAUUUAUCGCUGAAAGAUGGGCUCGCGUCUGAUUAGCUAGUUGGUGGGGUAACGGCCUACCAAGGCGACGAUCAGUAGCCGG